This 1103-nucleotide long non-coding RNA is filed under the name Chinchilla lanigera (long-tailed chinchilla). RNAcentral's name for it is "lncRNA (ENSCLAG00000024787.1)". Lineage: Eukaryota; Metazoa; Chordata; Mammalia; Rodentia; Chinchillidae. The record is from RNAcentral.
AUGGGGUCAUCCUGGCUGUCUGUCCCGGAGUCACUGACACUGAGGAUGGCUGCGUCAGCACAUAGGAGGCCACAGAGCCUGUGGGGAGAGAGAAGCAGAUGGGGGAGUAACAGUGAGAGCUCCUUCCCUCGGACACUCACCCCUGGGGUAGCUGGGAUGAGCCCAGGGCUGGGUGGGAGUGUGAGAGUCCUGGGUAUCACCUGUGCAGUGAGCAAGGAGGCCAAUGAAGAGCGUGGCCCAGGCCAUGGCAGAGGUGCUCGAAUGCUCCUUCCUGAGGCCAAGACUGGGUGGCUUCCUCCCAGGCCUCUCUUAUCCCCUUGCUGGAGAGAGCUGCCCGUUAUGCAAAUCAAUCCAUCUUAGGGCAAGUGCUGAAGAGAUUUCUGGUGUCCAGAGCAGGGCUCAGGCUCAAGUAAACAGAGAAGUAGGGGGGCCCUGCAGACUGCCCUCAGCCUGGGUGAUGCUCCUUCACAUGUGAGUGCAUAUACAGGUCCAAGACACCCACCCUGUACUGCGUCCUGGCAUUGCAGCUCAGCCUUCUGGUCAUGCAGAGGUGAAAACUGGAGGUGGUGUUUCCCAAGCUGCCUGAAGGCCUGCCUGUGGGUGGUUCUGUCCUGGUGCUAUGGACUGGAGACACACAUCCAACUUUGACCAAGUCCAGGACUUUCCUGUGUUUGAUCCUGGCUGGGAAGCAGGUGGGUUUGGCCUGAGUCAGUAGGGGAAUCCUGUGCAUAAAUGCUUUCUAGCACAAUCUAGAUGUCAGCUCAGUCCUAGCUUCUUUUUAGAGGUUCCAUCCCUGAUCAAACUGCAGAGACUCUCCUGAAACUACCUUAUGGGUGACAGCAAGAAGCAGACAGGAGCAGGAUAUUAUCCAGACCACACAGCUUCUCAGUGGAGAAACAACAGAGGUCUUAAAUGGAGGCAGGCAUAGGAAUGCUCACCUGUGAUCCCAGUACCCUCAGAGGAUGAGGCCCGAGUAUCACCAGUUCAAGCACAGCCAGGGAUGCUGCAAUUUACAGAGACUGUUUCCCCAAUAAAAUAUAAUUAAAAUAAAAUAUAAAAAACUAGUGUAUUUCUGCUCCUGGAUUCAAUUCACAGUACCGAAA